ACGGCUUCCACUAGAAGUCAACAGUCUUUACAAAGUUGUUUGAAGCGUCUACGAUGAACAGAGACCGAAUGAGAAGGAGGGGAACUUGUUGAGGCAGGGGAUGACAUCACUUCUUGGCGCACGUUGAUGAGAGUGGAUCCUCCGUUCCAAAACCUUUUUCAAGACACAGGAACUGAAAUAUUACUGAAUAUUCACGUUCUGAAGGCCCUAAAGAUUGAUGUUUUACAACGUUUGACAUGUUUGAACGAACGUAAAUACAACUUUUCUUUACUUUUCAUCGCGACAUCGUCUGCGCGCUUCCUACUUUUGGAGUAGCUUACUGAACGCACGAACAACAAGGAGUUAUUUGGACAAAAAUGAUGGACUUUAUUGAACAAAACAACAUUUGUUUGAGAUUCCUGGAAGUGCCUUCUGAUGAAGAUCAUCAAAGUCUGCUGUCCCAACAUGGUUCAAGAUGGCCACCAUUGUUCCUGUACCCAAGAAGGCAAAGACGGACCACGAGGCUUCAACAGUAUCAGUGGGUUGACCUGUACUGGCACUGCCUUUCUGGUCCAUCGGAAAAGAAAGAGAGCACCUGAAGAACUGGGGAAGACACGGAGCAACAGUGGCCCAAACUGACUCCACAUACCACCCGGAACCCCCCAGUAUCCAGACCCAGCAAUGGACCAGCUGCCUGAGGAGAAGAUGACGGACUGCAAGCCUUAAGACAUGAGCUCUAGGAUCAUGCCUCAGAACUACCUGGCCUGAUGACUCCUGGCUGUCCCCAGCCCACCUGGUUAUGCUGCUGCUUCAGUUUCAACUGUUCAGCCUGCGGCUAGGGAACCCUGACCUGUUCACCGGACGUGCUACCUUGUCCUGGACCUGCUGUUUUCGACUCUCUCUCUCUCUACCGCACCUGCUGUCUCGACCUCUGAAUGCUCAGCUAUGAAACGCCAACUGACAUUUACUCCUGAGGACACUGGGCAGUAUAUGAGAGGCUGAUGUUUGAUGAGUUAUGUGGCCAUCCGUUCCUGCUGGACUAACCCAAGGCUAAGAUUACAUCACACUGGACACUAACCGCCUGGGACAAGACACCACCAACAGCCACUGGAAGAUCACUGGACCGAAGGACAUCAAAUCACAUACACAUACUUAGCAGAUGUUAUUACGGGUGUAGCGAAAUUAUUAUAAAUGAUCAUCGCCCCACCUACCACCAUCCCGACGAACUCUGCACUGACCACCACGACCCCUAGCUCUCACCUCCAAUUUAAUAGAGGUAAGAAGCCACCACCUUGCAUCCAACUCUUCAUAUAGCCGUGCAAAACACUGGACAUUCCAACCACCAUGACAGCCCACCAGCUCCCAAGUACCAGAACUCUUUACACCACAACAUCAGCCCCUCACCUUUUUCCCCCAUUGCCUUGCCAUUUGACCUACCGACCUAAUGCCACCCCUUUUCUAAACCCCAGUUAAAAUAGUAUAUGUGACCGACAGCCUUGCUUCGGUCUUAUUUAGCAAAAUUUGAAAUUGUGUUUUUUACAUUGGAUGAAAGCAGCUACAAAAUGGUAUAUCACACACUGCAUUUGAGGAAAAAUGGGAAAGUAAUUCUGCUUUGAAAUUUGACAAACCUUUGAGAAAAUGGCCUUUGAAUGUUUUGGUACCUACUGGAGAGCUCUUCUUUGUCUACACCCAUUCAGCAUCGUUCACACCCUCUUAAGCUUUAGCUCCACCAAUCUCUUUAAGGGUUGAACUGACCGUUCUGUCCUAACAACAGCAGUCAAGCUAACUGGCUAAGAGUUGUCGCGGUGAAAUUCUAUUGAAAUGAAUACUUGCAUAGUAGUCUUUUGUUAAGACAUGUAGCUAGCUAAUUAACCAUAAUCUCAACUCAUGAUGUUAAUACCCUGCAUGAAUCUGCAGGUAGCUAACCAACCAGGUUCAAUGUUAGUGAGCUAACAUUAGGCUAUAACUACAUUUACAUUUUAGUCAUUUAGCAGACGCUCGUAGCCAGAGCGACUUACAGUGGUGAAUGCAUAAAUUUCUUUUUUUUUUCUU
This 2031-nucleotide long non-coding RNA is filed under the name Salmo salar (Atlantic salmon). RNAcentral describes it as "lncRNA (ENSSSAG00000083684.1)". Lineage: Eukaryota; Metazoa; Chordata; Actinopteri; Salmoniformes; Salmonidae. The record is from RNAcentral.